GGGAACGGUAUUAUUUGUUUUCGUUCUUAACAUUCUAAUUCUAUAUUGCGCCAAAUUUGCACACACCCCAGGUGGAAUGUUAGCUGAACAGACUGGUACUCUCUAGGUGGAAUGUUAGCUGAACAGACUGGUACUCUCUAGGUGGAAUGUUAGCUGAACAGACUGGUACUCUCUAGUUGGAAUGUUAGCUGAACAGACUGGUACUCAGGUUAGGGGGAAUGUUAGCUGAACAGACUGGUACUCAGGUUAGGGGGGAUGUUAGCUGAACAGACUGGUACUCAGGUUAGGGGGAAUGUUAGCUGAACAGACUGGUACUCAGGUUAGGGGGAAUGUUAGCUGAACAGAC
Oncorhynchus tshawytscha (Chinook salmon) is the source of this 346-nucleotide long non-coding RNA. The record is from Ensembl. NCBI's taxonomy places the organism in Eukaryota, Metazoa, Chordata, Actinopteri, Salmoniformes, Salmonidae.